Molecule: long non-coding RNA, 2325 nt
Filed under: Cicer arietinum (chickpea)
Lineage: Eukaryota; Viridiplantae; Streptophyta; Magnoliopsida; Fabales; Fabaceae
Description: long non-coding RNA (CARI_LNC002406)
Source: RNAcentral
ACACAUUGUACAUGAUCAUAUAAACUAAAAUAUUUCAAAAACGGGUAAACAAUAUAAUAUCCCUUUAUCUCCUUAAAUGUUUGGCAAGAGGGACAACAGGUGCAGUAGGAUUGACAAUCUUCUUUCUUUUCUUUUGCUCCAGUUGCUUACCAGGAACAAAACUCCAUGCAACAACCUGAUGCAUAAAACAUGAAGGCGAAAGUGCUCAGUCAAAAAGUUGCUCAUAGUUAUACAUGACCAAAGUAAAGUUUAUUGGGAAAAUCCAGUGUCCUAUCAUUUCACUUCUUCUAUAUCAUCAAACCAUAAUUUGAGAUUGAUUCAACGAAACAAUAAUCUGAGAUAGAGAAAUUCAAGCUUCAUAAAAGAAACUGACAUCUUUUUAAAAUAUUUGCCAUUUCUGCUUAUAAAAAUGAUACCAUUUCUGCUUAUAAAAAUGGAAGGAAAAAGCAAAAACAAAGGUAGCAUACCUUCAAUCCUUGGCAAACCACUUCAUAUGCUUUAGAUUUACGAUCCAUGCAAUUUAAUGUCAAACCCUUCAUUGAUAAAGGUUUUAUCAACCAGAAGGAGGAACAAACACAUAAAUAAAUAAAAAAUACCCAAAGAAUCAUGAUAAUUAAGAAAUGGAGAGAGGAUAAGUAACUUAAGUAAAAAAGAUAGGUGGUGUGUUACUUAACUGAAACAUGUAACAAGGAAAUAAAACAUUGCAUUCAGAUCUCUCAUUGUAACAAGUAUUUGAAAAAUCAUAAAAUGGACAUUGCAUUCAUCUUCCAUUAAUGAAACAGAAUUUCAGUAUGAUCAAAAAUAAAUCUUACAAAAAUAAAAAACAAAUUAGACAUAAGCAUUGAUUCUCAAGGACUAGCAUUACUCAUUCCCAAUAAUUCAUAUAACUAAAAAUGAUAUAAUUUUGGCAUGUGUUGACAGUUUUGCAAAUAAGUGAAAACAUAAUAAGCAAGUAUCAGUUCUAACUCUAUGGAAAAAAGGCAAAGUUUGAAUCUCAACAAUCACACACACCAUCCUCUAUACAUUAUUAAUAACAUAACAACAUAAAAUACAAAGGGAGGGACUGGGGAGAAUAAUUAGUUAUUGUUCUGUAUUUGCAGUGUUGGCCCGUAUUUUGCACAUUGCUGUAUCUUCACCAGCUGGCUAGGGAUUAACCACCUGUUGAAAAUAAUUGCUUGAUUUACAACCACUGUAUCACAAGUCUAAAUGAACAUCUUCUCCUUGAGAACUAACCUUCAAAUUAGAAGAAUGCACAUUGACUUUGCCAAAAUAUCUGAGUAUGAGUCGGGCAAUAUUCUCAGCUGACACAACACUUGUUUCCAUGGUGCUAGCCGCAUUUUCGAAUGCAUUAACAUAGUAAAGAUGUCGCCCAUCCAAUAUAAACAGUGCAAAUAUUUCUGGGGCGUGAUAAUGAGGGUAGGCAGCCCAGUUUAUCCUAAUUGUCUCCUUCCUCCCAAUGUUAGAGGAGCAAUCAAUAAAAAGUUACAAUUAGAAAACUGGUAAAAGUUUUUCCCUCAUUUUUCUGAGAGGGAGAAAGAAGAGAUAACAAAAUACGAAGCUAAACAAGUAAAUACUAAACCAGUUGAAUGCACUCAAGUGGUUAAUAAACUUCAGUGAAAGACGAAUCGUUCGGGAGAACCCAAGUUAGAACCUUGGCUGAAACAAUUUUUAGCCGGACCAGCAUCAGGUUCCAUCCUGGUGCAUCCCAUUUGCAACUCAGGGCUAAGUGAUUAACCAGAGUCUAUAUUGUAUAGUACUUAUUAGGUAAAUUUGAUGUGUGAUCCCAUAAAGUAAGCAGGUUUUUAAAAUAGAUUUUGCUACACAUAUCAACAGUGUAAUUUAAGCUUCAAGGCACAUGAAAAAUUAGUUAACAGCUGCUACUAUUACCUGAAAAUGCUAUCAAGUAAUGUGUCUGCCACUGGUUGACGAGAGAAUAUUUUAUAAGUGGACUCUUCUUCAUUGUGCUUCUUGAGAACUGAAAUGCUUGUAAAUGGAAGUUUAGGGUCCUCUAAUGUGGCCACAAAAGACAAACGUUAGGUUGCAAUGAGUAAAAAAUAAGCAUUAUUUACACUAUUUAUACUUCUAAUAAAAAAUAAGCAUAUGAACUAAAGAUUUACCAAUUCCUUUUUGAAUACUACGUAUGUUAAAUCAAACACAUUGUCAAUAAAGAGCUAACAAAUACUAUUCAAUAGAAUCAUCUUCCUCUUGAUCUUCAUCUUCACCAUCGUCACUGAAAUCAUCUUCUUCAUCCUCAUCAUCUUGCAUCAUAUGCAAAUCAACUUCUUCACCAUAAACUGAAUCAUCUUGUAAGUUAUCAAUUGGGUN